AUGCUGGCCAUGUACGGCAAACCACUGCUCCCCAAGAUGCACCACACCAACCCCAUCUCCGUGCUGGAGCGGGACUACCUCCGGUUCCAGGCGAUGGGGAUGGUGGCCUCACAGCUUGCCAGGUACAACCCACCACUGCGGAGGGAGGUGGUGGCGUACGUGCUCGACGUGGAAUCGUACAUGUUCAGCCUGCGCCGGAGCAAGGCCAACUUCUACCGGAUCACCUUGCUCUUCUCUGGCGGCGUCGCCGUGGGCAAAUGGUUCGACGGCAUCUGCAAGUGGAAGAACCCAAUGACGACGAUUUUGGUGCACGUGGUGUUCCUGAAGCUGGUGUGCUGCCCGGAAUUGAUCUUACCCGUCGUGUUCCUGUGCAUGAUUAUUAUGGGGGCGUGGAACUACUUCAGGCGGACACGUGGAGCUCCACACAUAGACACGAUGCUGUCACGCGUGGAGCUCGCGCACCCGAACGAGCUGGACGAGGAGUUCGGUGGACUGCAGCCACCGCACAUAGAUGCAAUGUUCCGGUGGUACAAUGAUGUGGCGUACCAUGACGAACUGGACGAGGAAUUCGACACGUUCCCGACAUCCAAGCCAGACGACAUCGUGAGGCUGAGGUAUGAGCGGCUGCGGAGCCUCUGUGGGAUGGUGCAGACGGUUGUCGGCGACCUGGCUGCGCAGGGGGAGCGCGUGGAGUCACUGCUCCACUGGCACGACCCCAGGUUGACGCCCGUCUUCAUUGCAUUAUCGCUGGUGAUGCCCGUCGUACUGUACUUGACUCCAUUCCGGUUGUUGACCAUGGCGGUGGGGUUGUACUUCCUCCGGCCGCCGCGGUUCCGAGGCAGGACCAACCUGCUCCUCAACUUGUACAGUCGUCUGCCUUCCAAGGACGACGUGAUUCUAUAA
This 903-nucleotide ribosomal RNA is filed under the name Triticum aestivum (bread wheat). RNAcentral's name for it is "partial small subunit ribosomal RNA". Lineage: Eukaryota; Viridiplantae; Streptophyta; Magnoliopsida; Poales; Poaceae. The record is from RNAcentral.